UGGUGAGUCAUUUUAAAAUUGCCAUGACAAUUUGGCGAUGAGGAUGGAAUUCCUUGGAUGUACUUUCUGGAACUGUGAGCGGAUGGUCACAGCACACCUUAGGACUUAAAAUCACAGCCCUACCCCGACCAGCUUAAGAAGAGGGGACGACUGCCAAGGUCUGGAAAGGACACCACAGGAAUCGACAAAGAGAUAAAUCAAUAAAUUCCCAUAAAAAAAUCAAACAAGUUUGUUGGUAAAUAGGGAAACUGAAACUAAAGGGGAACAAACCAUAUCAGAUGUGUUCCAGAUUUGUGGGGCAGAGAAGGUAAGAGCCCUAUCGCCUGCAAUGCCCCGAAAGUGGACGAGGACCUCGACUGCUCUCAGCCACGAUGACCAAUAGCAACGCCGACGACAGAACAGCCUGGUAAUGAUUUCACAGCCUGGUAUGAUGCAACCACAACUGGCAGCAGCACCAGUGACUCAAAAAUACCCAAACCUGUGGGCUACACAACUAAGAACGACCACAAAACCUGACGUGGCGGGGAAGAGGAAGUUUGUAAAAGGACUGAACAAAGCAAGAAGAGAUGCUGAAAACACUGGCUGUGUGAUAUGCAAGACUGAUGAUCACAAGACAAUAGACUGUACAAGAUGUUUUGUGUGCGAGAAGGAUGGUCGCUGGAGCAGGGACUGUCCAGAAAACCCGCAAAGAGAAGCUAACUGAGGAGGCGAGAGCAGAGUGCUAGAUGAAAGCGUCCAUGGCGAGCAAUCAGCAGCUCAGGGAAGUGAACAUUUUCUAACCACACACAUAUAUAUAUUGACUUACAUACUGCUAUCUGCAAUGAUGGAAAAGCUUGCUUGUCUUUAUGUGUAUCUGAUGAAAAUGAUGUAGGGCCAUGGUGAACAAACACACAAGCUACAAAAAGUGAUAACGUAACUCAGUCAACUGAUGCCGAGGUUAAGGUGUGACCUCUCUCAGCAUAAAUCAGAAGCGAUUUCAGGCUAGAAGAGACGGACACCAGCGCGAUGUAGGAAACGUUCUAUAAAGUAUAGGACAUCCCAGAGAUGCUAUCUCCAGAUGGGACAGAAACUCUGUAUUAAUGUAAAGUAAUUUAUGAGUGGAAGAAUAGCCAAACUGGGUGGGAACACGCCCUGUAGCCCGUCAUUGAUUGGAUAAGCACCCCUCUGGGCAAGUCCAAAUCAGCUGUUUAAAACUUUGAAGCAAGAAGCGAGGAAGAGAGAGGAAGAAAAGGAAAAAAGGCAAAGAAGAAGUCUGAGAGUUUUCCUCCAUCAGAGCAGUGCACAUUCCAUCACUUGCGCUGCAAUAACUCCACAAACUUGCUGUACGACUGGAAGUUGCCAAGGACCAAACGUGAGCUGCCACAAUGCAAAUCACUGAAAUGCUCCAGCGUUCCUUCAGCAAGAACUUCAUUGACCCUCUGCAGCUUUAACUUCCAAAUCUGAGCAACCAAAUGACGAGAGACUUUCCCGAACGCCUAUUCAAAUCGCUUGGGGAAUCCCAAAGAUGUCAUCCAAAACAAACGCCGCGACCAAUCAGAUAAGCCAGGAUUCCCUCAGAGAAAGUUUCCCUCUCUUAACUGAUUGGUGCAAAGUGAAAAGCUAAAAGGUUCUGAAGAAGAAUUCAUCAAGAACAUAGUCUCAGUCUUAAGACGUCACUCCUUUGAUGCUGUGAUGCCAAAAGCCCCUCAUGAAAAAAGAAACCCAUAGUGUUUACAACUGUGAUGACGAGCGCUUAUCAGGAUUGACUAAAUGCUGCAUUUUGCUGCAAGUUCACGGCAUAGAAUCUUUCAAAUAUGUCAGAGAAUUUUACAAGUUUGUUAUGGUGGCGAAAUUUCCACACCCUAAAACAUGAAGCUGCAUAAAACAAACUGUGAUUUAUUGUUUGGCAUGUCAGUCAAACUGCCUAACGGGCAGGCCUUCACCAAUAAAAGCUGCCAUGGGCCACACAAGGCUAUCAAAGACAUGACUGUUGGAAUUACAGUUGUGGGUAAAUGUAAAUAUGAUAUGAUAAUGAUAAUUUUUCUUUAAUUCUUCCUGUAAUUUCUAUAUAAUUAGUUUUUUUUUUAGUUUGUACUGACAUAAAAUAAAAUCAUGUUCAGUUUUCUAAUAAAUUUUUUUUAUUAUACUUAACUUUUAAUGUAUUCAUGUUUUUAAACUAACUGAAUGUUUUAAGAGUUUGUCCUUAACAUUUUGAAAUAGUGAAAAUGUGCUAUUUAUUUGAUUGAAUGUGCUUUUGCAAGUUUAGAAAAUAUGUCACAUUAAGUUCAAUGCACGUUUAAGCUAAAAUAAUUUAUAGUUAAUAAGUAAAUAAAACUUAAUUGAGUCAAAGUACAAAGACUAAAAAAAAAAAGAUCUGGUAGCAGAGUUUGAGUUGAUUUAUUGCAUCUGGGGAAAGCCCUGUGCGAGAAACAUUUAUUUAAUUCUUAGCUGAGAGUAUGUUUAUUUUUCUUCAUUCAUUAUGUGAGUUAUUUUGAUGAAUUUUACAAACAAAGCUGUUGGAUAUUUUUUGUUGUUGCUGUUGUUGUUUGUGGGUUGUAUGAUAUAAUAUUAAAUUAGGGUUUUUUUAGUAGAAGAGCUUUUUUGUUCUGCUUAAUGCAUAUGCACAGCAAGGCAGAGUGAAUUUCAAUUUUCGUUGCUGAAAUCAGAAAAGAUUGCAGUCAGCCUAUUCAGCUCUCCGUCAUGAAUAUGAUUGAAGGACUACUUUGACACUCUACAAUAUGGAUUAUAAGGACAUGUUUACGGCUGUCAUUCCCUCUUUUGGUUUCUUAAAUGACUCAUAAUUACAGGUAAGAUUGUUCUCUUUGACAUUUGCACGUAUAUUUCUUUUACACACUCAAAACCCCACCCAAAAUCAUAUAAUCAUUGUUUUAACUAAUAAUCUGUGUGGUUGUAAGUCAUUAGAUGUGUGAAUGUUAAAAUUUUAAUACAAAAAGGAAGGGGAAGAUAUGGAUCGGUAUUCAUUAUAAGACUUUGCAAAUUAAGUGAUCUAC
Puntigrus tetrazona (Sumatra barb) is the source of this 2990-nucleotide long non-coding RNA. RefSeq lists it as uncharacterized. The transcript is spliced from 3 exons. NCBI's taxonomy places the organism in Eukaryota, Metazoa, Chordata, Actinopteri, Cypriniformes, Cyprinidae. The record is from RefSeq and is a predicted model, not a curated record.